UCCUAGUACGAGAGGACCGGAGUGGACGCAUCACUGGUGUUCGGGUUGUCAUGCCAAUGGCACUGCCCGGUAGCUAAAUGCGGAAGAGAUAAGUGCUGAAAGCAUCUAAGCACGAAACUUGCCCCGAGAUGAGUUCUCCCUGACUCCUUGAGGGUCCUGAAGGAACGUUGAAGACGACGACGUUGAUAGGCCGGGUGUGUAAGCGCAGCGAUGCGUUGAGCUAACCGGUACUAAUGAACCGUGAGGCUUAACCUU
This 255-nucleotide ribosomal RNA is filed under the name Escherichia coli. RNAcentral describes it as "partial 23S ribosomal RNA". It matches the Rfam family "Bacterial large subunit ribosomal RNA", at positions 2676 to 2925 of the family's 2925-position model. The record is from RNAcentral. Lineage: Bacteria; Pseudomonadati; Pseudomonadota; Gammaproteobacteria; Enterobacterales; Enterobacteriaceae.